ACUCCUACGGGAGGCAGCAGUGGGGAAUUUUGGGCAAUGGCCGCAAGGCUGACCCAGCGACGCCGCGUGCGGGAGGAAGCCUUUCGGGGUGUAAACCGCUGUCAGGGGGGACGAACCCUCUCACUUCGAACAGGGGUGGGAGCUGACGGUACCUCCAGAGGAAGCGCCGGCUAACUCCGUGCCAGCAGCCGCGGUAAUA
RNAcentral lists this ribosomal RNA (199 nucleotides) under uncultured bacterium. RNAcentral describes it as "partial 16S ribosomal RNA". It matches the Rfam family "Bacterial small subunit ribosomal RNA", at positions 335 to 525 of the family's 1533-position model. The record is from RNAcentral.